Molecule: ribosomal RNA, 468 nt
Filed under: uncultured bacterium
Lineage: Bacteria
Description: partial 16S ribosomal RNA
Rfam family: Bacterial small subunit ribosomal RNA
Source: RNAcentral
GACGAACGCUGGCGGCGUGCUUAACACAUGCAAGUCGAACGGAAAGGCCCUGCUUUUGUGGGGUGCUCGAGUGGCGAACGGGUGAGUAACACGUGAGUAACCUGCCCUUGACUUUGGGAUAGCUUCAGGAAACUGGGGCUAAUACCGGAUAGGAGCUCCUGCUGCAUGGUGGGGGUUGGAAAGUUUCGGCGGUUGGGGAUGGACUCGCGGCUUAUCAGCUUGUUGGUGGGGUAGUGGCUUACCAAGGCUUUGACGGGUAGCCGGCCUGAGAGGGUGACCGGCCACAUUGGGACUGAGAUACGGCCCAGACUCCUACGGGAGGCAGCAGUGGGGAAUAUUGCACAAUGGGCGGAAGCCCGAUGCAGCAACGCCGCGUGCGGGAUGACGGCCUUCGGGUUGUAAACCGCUUUCGCCUGUGACGAAGCGUGAGUGACGGUAAUGGGUAAAGAAGCACCGGCUAACUACGUG